UGUCGAUGAAGAGCGUAGCCAGCUACGUGAAUUAAUGUGAACUGUAUUGCUUUGAUCAUCGACAUCUUGAACGCAUAUUGCGGCCAUGGGUUAACCUAUGGCCACGCCUGUCCGAGGGUCG
This 121-nucleotide ribosomal RNA is filed under the name Microphallidae gen. sp. SCC-2015. RNAcentral's name for it is "partial 5.8S ribosomal RNA". It matches the Rfam family "5.8S ribosomal RNA", at positions 33 to 154 of the family's 154-position model. Rfam says of the family: 5.8S ribosomal RNA (5.8S rRNA) is a component of the large subunit of the eukaryotic ribosome. It is transcribed by RNA polymerase I as part of the 45S precursor that also contains 18S and 28S rRNA. Lineage: Eukaryota; Metazoa; Platyhelminthes; Trematoda; Plagiorchiida; Microphallidae. The record is from RNAcentral.